Long non-coding RNA from Sarcophilus harrisii (Tasmanian devil), 3275 nucleotides. The record is from Ensembl. NCBI's taxonomy places the organism in Eukaryota, Metazoa, Chordata, Mammalia, Dasyuromorphia, Dasyuridae.
UAGGAUGUUAUUGCAGAACUGUUUAUUGAUGGCUUAGAAAUUUUUUUGAGCUUUGAUUUGGAAUCCAGUGUUAUACUGAGUUUCAAAUCACAAAGAAUUAGUAGUAUUCCACUAUUUUAUCCCAAGAAACCAUAAUCCAACUCUUUUUUAGUCUAUGAAUGUGGCCUAGCUCUUAAGUAUUCUUGGUUAGAGAAUUUAAAGAAAGAUUGAGACAGUCUAAGUUGCUAAGUUGGACCCUCUGGGUGGAAGCACAGGUAGAGCCUUAGAAUCACUGCAGAAAAGACCUGCACAUUCUUUCCCACCAUCUUUUACCCUGAUGCUCAAUUUCUUCCUGAAAUCUAAACGGUUGAUCAAGACACGUUAAAUAGUAGUUUGGACCAAGAUCCUUGGUGCUGAUUUGGCACUAGGCCAGCUUCUUGUAUUAAGGCAUUGAUGUGACAUUUAUUUGGAUCCUUAGUGAUGGCAUUAGGUAAUUUUACUUGUUAACCUUGAUUACUAUUUAAUUGUUGCUUGAUAAGGCUAGUGUUUGGUAGGACCAAAUUAUUGAUAGAUCUUUUUUCAACUAUUAGGUAAACUUUGAGAAUAGUGUUUGUUUAGUUGUCAACUUCAGGAUUACAAAUGUCUGCUCCAGGUAAUUAGCACUAAAAUAAUGUCAGCUCUCCUCAAACUGAGCUCCUGUACAGUACUGACUUAAAUUGAUGAAGCAACUUCUUAUAAGGUUUGAAAGAACUGUGAUUAUUAGGUAAUUUGGCUUGCCAAGAUUAGUGUUAGGUAUAGAACCUCCUUAAAUACGAUCCCUUAGGGAUGUAACCAUUUAAAGAUUAUACAGUUUCACUGCCACCAACCACCUUUUUAUUACUCUUUGUGCAGAAAGUAAACUUACUUUAUAACCUUUGAGAGAAGCUCAGUUUUGGAAACCUUUUAUACUUUUCACUUUGCCAAAGUGUUUGCUAAAUACAGCUGACCUGUAGCACAUAAUUAAGUAAUUAUUUACUAAUAACAAUAAAUUUCUUUGAUAAUUUUCAUGUAGUAAACCUCUAUUUCAGUUUAUUUUUAGUGUACAGCGCUAAAACAACUUAGCAGCUUUACAAGUUUCCAGAAUUACAUUGUGCUCCGUCCUUUUUCCAUAUGUCUUCUGUAUAGGAUUUUGUUUUGCUUUGUUUUUUGAGGCAAUUGGAGUUAAGUGACUUGCUCAGAGUCACACAGCUAGUAAGUGUUAAAUGUCUGAGGCCAGAUUUGAAUUUAGGUCCUCCUGAAUUCAGGGGUAGUCUCUAUCCACUUCAUCAUCUAGCUACCUCUGUACAGCAGUUCUUAAAUGCAUGAUUGUGAUUGUGAAGGUACAAGGGAAGAAUAAGAUGUUUAGUACCAUAUUGCCGAAGCUUUGACUCAGAGCUAACACUUUCUGCAUAUAGCACAUCAAUAAUUAUAUUCUCUUCUUUAUACACAGCAGUCAUUGAUAUAUAAUGAAAAGAAAGGAAUAGUAGUUCAUGAAAGUGAGGGAGCGGAGCCAGACCAUCUGUUUUUAAAAUAUGACCCAGGAUCAAAAUUAUUUUCAUGAUAAUACUAAAUUUUAAUUUCCAGUAUGGUGAAUAUUGAUAGAUAUAACCCAUCUAAACAAAAUCUCUUUGGAAGUGAAUGUGCUUAAUAAUUUUUAAGACUAUAAAGUGGUCUUGAGAUUAAAAAGUUUGAGAAGCACUGGUUUAGACAAUAUGGAGUCACUCUGAGAUAUAUACACAUAUAUAUGAAUGACUAUAUAUAGUCACUGAUAUAUGUUUAUGUAUAUAAAUAAAUCUAUAUUAUACCCACAUAUGAGUGACUAGUCAUCAUGUUUGUGUGUAUAUAUAAAUAUUGCUUAUAUAUAUAUAUAUAUAUAUAUAUAUAUAUAUAUAUAUAAAUACACACACACACACACACACACACACACAAAUUUGUGUACCAUUCAAGAAGCCAUAAUUGAAAUAUAUGUUAGAUGGUUUGUGCAACUAGCUGCAGAUUAUUUUAGAUCAGAUACACUGAUACUGACAAACUUCAAAUGUGUGAAGAUUUAUUCAACUUAGAGGGUUGUAACAUCAGAAUGAAUACCGGUGAAUAGGGACAGGAUGAGAUUUUCACCCACCCCAGAGUUCAGAAUAACCACAUGGCCCCUGCAAGGAAAGCUCCUCUCUGUUCUGCUCCUCCCUCUUCCCAAGGGUAGUUGCUUUGGCAGAAAGCCAGAUUACUAGGAAUAAGCUGCAGCUGGGGACAGAAAUUAGGAGCUGUACCUUAAAAUUGAGGACAUCUGGUAGCUUUACCAAUCAAAAUAUCUGUUUGUAUGUGCACAUACAUGUUCAUGUUAAGAGAGUCUUCCAGAGUCUUCAUCUUCAUCCCUUAGUAGAUUGUUAGAGGCAUUCAAAGCCAGGAUCAGUUUGAUGUCAUUAUUCCUCUGUUUUUUAUAUUCAGCUAAUUUUCCUUUAAAAGUGCUUCCUGGAAAGCUCUGACCUUGAAGAUGCAUGAUGGUGGUUGGGGAAAAUAAUUCCAAUGAUUUUAAGAGCUUAAAAACAGAAUUUAAAUUUAGUGCUAUAUUCAGAACCCUCAAUGGAAAUUAAAUUCUUGGUUUUCAUCAGAAAGACAUGACUCUUGAGAACUAUUAAAUCAUAAUUUAUUUUCUGUUGUUUAUUCACCUGGCAUCUGCAAAUUUAAAAGUUAAUUUUAAACACGCUCUGUCCUAGGAUUGCUGUGAAAACAACUCUAGAACUUUAGUGUAAUUGUCUCAUAGUGAGAAAACUUUAGAGAUCUUUAGCACUUAACUUUAAAUAUUUAAACAAGCCUCAUAGAAAUUAAAUGACUUGCCCAAGAUCAUAUACAUAGUUGGUAGCCAAACCAGAAAUAGAUCUCAGUUCUUCUUUCUUCUACUCUGUCUAGUGUACUUCCUCUUGUUACAAAUUCCCACUCUGGGAAAUUGUGUUCCAAUGAAGUUCUGUAUGCUUAUUUCAAUUUUAUUUUGUAAAAUAAGUUUAAAUGGCUAGAUUUUGCCAUAAGCCAUUAAUCUUAUUUAACAGUAAAUAUUAUCUAAAGUCUAAUUAUUAUUGUAUUGUUAAUGUUGAACUUUAAUGUUCUUAUUGAGAUUGCUAAUUAACUGAAACAAUUGUAUCUGACAGUUUUUUAUUUGUUAGCUUUCUCUUUCUGGCAUAGGAAAGCAUAUAUACUAUUAUAAUUUUUUUCCUGUUUGAUUGCUUUAACUGUUGCUAUUCUUAAGAUAAUUUUGAAAAUGUUAUUAUAGUUACUUAAAUUUAGAA